Non-coding RNA from Oryza sativa Japonica Group (Japanese rice), 2686 nucleotides. NCBI's taxonomy places the organism in Eukaryota, Viridiplantae, Streptophyta, Magnoliopsida, Poales, Poaceae. The record is from RefSeq and is a predicted model, not a curated record.
UUUUUUGUAAUAUGUGGAAGACGAGGGGCUUUUUCGCAAAACAACAUCCACUACCGCUAGCCGCUCGUUCUCCCUCUCCCGCGCCGUCGUCUCCGCUUUCCCCUCGCGCCGAGCGCCGCCGCAGCCGCAGCCGCCGCCGCCUCCCCAUCGCGCAGCCACGUCUGCCUGGCACCGUCCCCAUCGCCGGCCGCCUCCGCCUCCGACUCCCCCUCGCGCCGCCUCCACCUCCUCCGCCAUCGCCGUCGCCGUCGCCGUCGCCUCGCUGCGUCUCCGGGCGCCUCCGCCUCCGUCUCCCUCCUCGCGUCAUCGCCGUCGCCGUCGCCUCCCCAUCGCGCAGCCACCUCCUCCUAGCGCCGUCCCCAUCGCCGGCCACCUCCUCCUCCGCCGCCGCCGUCGCCUCGCCGUCUCCGUCUCCCCCCUCGCGUCGUCGCCGUCGCCGUCGCCAAGCGAAGCAGUCUCUGCCACCGCCACCGCCACCGCCGUGCCCGUCGCCGCGCGUCUCCGCUGUGUCCUUCGUCGCCAUCGCCAACGGCCGCAACUCUGCCCUCCGUUGCCGUCGAAGAAACGGCGAUGGUCACAGAGCCGACGACGGUGGCUGCGCGAUGGGGAGGCGGAGGCGGUACAGAUACAAUGGAACUUUUGGCUGCUUGCUGCUCGUCACUUCUCCCUCAGGUCGUCGUCUUCGUUUAUCCCCAUGUAUUUUGUCUUGUCCAUCGCCUCUGCAGGGAAGAAGAACAUGAGGUGCUAAUCACUGCUGUUCUAGGUGCUAAUCCGUCAAGGAGCUCAGAUCUGUGGAUCCUAGACUAGAGGGUUAGGGUUGGUCAGGUGGUAUAGUAUCCCAUUACAACAUGCUCUUUCAUAUGCUUGUUGAUUCAUCGAUGAUCUCAACUCCCAAGUGGGGAAUUUUUGUCUACAAAUUAAUUUUGAUUUGGAUGCGCUUUUCCGUUUGUUAUUCUGCGUGCAAAACUUGUUAUGAUGAAAACUACUAUCUUUAGGCAAUAAUAACGGAGGUCUCUCCUUGGGAAAGAGAGCUGCGUGAGCAGUUUGCCGCUUGCUUACACUAAGCAAAAGAUCCACUGAGCAUUGAAAAUUUUGUUUACAUGCUGCCAGGCUGCUGGAAUCGUGGAAGCUGUGCGGAGGAUCUACUCAGAUGUUGAUCGAAAUGGUGCUGGAUUUGGGAGCUGUUGUUCUCAAUUGCCGGGCUGAUCACUGGAGGUGUGAUUCUGCUUGUCAGUUGAGGGAAGAAUUCACACACUUGUGUUCACUGAGGACAUCUUCUCAACCUAUUGCUUCCACCGAUCAUCUUUAAUGCUAGAUAAUCAAGAACCAUGAUGCCAAUAGUCCACUACUAUGCUUUACUGCUUUCAGAUUAAUGAAGAUAUCAGUUGCAGAGAGGGCUAUUGUGGUUCCUCAGCCAUGGCAAUGUGAGUAUAUAUAUGUAUACAGCUCUCAUAUGAACAGCAUUUUCUAUCUCCGUUUGUGCAUAUGUUGGAUUGGUGAAUGAAGAUACCAUGUUCGGCCAGACCUGUGUUGGUCUCAGAGCAGUGGUUUCUCUGAGAUGGUAAAGGGAUUCCAAUUGUUUUUUAGACACCAAAAUGAUUGCAUUAAGUUGUCAUCUUUUGUAGAUAUUAGUUAUGCAUUUUUUUUUUAGCUUCUCGGAUUUAUCUGACUGUUAAACAAAUAAAUUGAUGUGCACAUCUUAUGUUCUUCUCAUUGAGGUGUUACUUACGCAGACUCUGGUUAAAUUUUAACAAGCAUGGAUGAAGAACCAAAUCCUGCAAAGGAGCUUGUUGGCUGAAAUGCCAAGUUAGAUAUGAUUAUAACUUGAAAGAGUAGCUGUCUUAAUUAAUCAAGAAACAUGUGAGCUAUGAUUUUCCUCUUUUAGUACAGGUAUUUCUUGUCAUGGUUUUUGUGAAGAAAAAAAAUCUUUUGACAAGUAUGCAGGCCAAUAAAACCAGGUAAUAUCAUGGAACAGAAGUAGAUUGUAUUGAUAGAGGUGCAAAUCGUUUAAUUCUUUGUUUUGCAAGAAUCUUUACUGUACAGAGUUUCUCUUUCUGCUGUUAUCAGCGGUGCGUGGCACAUGACAUAUUUAUGGCAACUUAACAUCGAUGCUGCGCCUUUGCAGAUGGUAGAGACCAGUUUCUCUGUGGACUAUUUGCAGGCAGAAUGAAAAAUGUGUGAUACAGAUGAUGGAGAAGGAGCUGAUGAGUGAAAUCAAGGUCAUGGAUAUGGUAUGGAACUGCAAGUUUUUUGGAACACCGUUGUUGUUCAUGGACAUAAUGGUCAUAGAUGACUGCUCAAGUAAUUGAUCAAGACCUUGGUUUUUGUUCCCCCGCCUGGUUAGGAUUCCGCAUUGGGUGCUUGCCAGGGAAUUUGAUUUUGACAUGCUUUUCUCAAGGUGCAUUUGUUGAUCCAAGGAAACACCGUGAGGUAUGCGGUGAUUGUAGUUCAUGUAACUGGGAUUGUCUGCCAGUUGAUUAGUAUUUGAAUCGCUAUGGUUGAUCAAAAUAUGUAAACAUAGAUCUUACAGAUAUGAAAAUUUUCCUUGGCUGUAGCAUCGGCUGAAUAAUCGCUGUUAUGAAAUGUGCAUGAUUUGUUGACCUGUAAUUAGUACUGCAGUUUGCUUAUCUGUAACCAUCUACUUUCUUCUUUUUUUUCAAUAACUUCCUUUUUCUUUGUUCCUUAA